This 254-nucleotide ribosomal RNA is filed under the name uncultured bacterium. RNAcentral's name for it is "partial 16S ribosomal RNA". It matches the Rfam family "Bacterial small subunit ribosomal RNA", at positions 524 to 776 of the family's 1533-position model. The record is from RNAcentral.
UACAGAGGUCUCAAGCGUUGUUCGGAUUCAUUGGGCGUAAAGGGUGCGUAGGCGGCUAUGUAAGUCAGAUAGUGAAAGUUUGCGGCUCAACCGUAAAAUUGCUUUUGAUACUGCAUGGCUAGAAUCAGGAUGAGGUUAGCGGAAUGUGGCAUGUAGCGGUGAAAUGCAUAGAUAUGCCAUAGAACACCAAUUGCGAAGGCAGCUGGCUAGACCUGUAUUGACGCUGAGGCACGAAAGCGUGGGGAUCGAACAGG